RNAcentral lists this ribosomal RNA (428 nucleotides) under uncultured marine bacterium. Its description in RNAcentral is "bacterial SSU rRNA". It matches the Rfam family "Bacterial small subunit ribosomal RNA", at positions 8 to 432 of the family's 1533-position model. The record is from RNAcentral.
AGAGUUUGAUCAUGGCUCAGAUUGAACGCUGGCGGUAUGCUUAACACAUGCAAGUCGAACGGAAACGAUACUAGCUUGCUAGUAGGCGUCGAGUGGCGGACGGGUGAGUAACGCGUAGGAAUCUACCUAAUAGUGGGGGAUAGCCCGGAGAAAUCCGGAUUAAUACCGCAUAAUCUCUAUGGAGUAAAGGGGCCCUCUUCUUGAAAGGUUUCGCUAUCAGAUGAGCCUGCGUAAGAUUAGCUAGUCGGUGAGGUAAAAGCUCACCAAGGCGACGAUCUUUAGCUGGUCUGAGAGGAUGAUCAGCCACACUGGGACUGAGACACGGCCCAGACUCCUACGGGAGGCAGCAGUGGGGAAUAUUGGACAAUGGGGGCAACCCUGAUCCAGCAAUACCGCGUGUGUGAAGAAGGCCUGAGGGUUGUAAAGCA